GUCGGAGUGGCGGAACUUGGUAGACGCGCUAGGUUGAGGGCCUAGUCCCCUUCACAGGGGGUGGGGGUUCAAAUCCCCCCUCCGACA
RNAcentral lists this transfer RNA (87 nucleotides) under Actinomycetota bacterium. RNAcentral describes it as "tRNA-Leu". It matches the Rfam family "tRNA". From Rfam's summary of the family: Transfer RNA (tRNA) molecules are approximately 80 nucleotides in length. Their secondary structure includes four short double-helical elements and three loops (D, anti-codon, and T loops). RNAcentral also lists the same sequence under 2 other names. Lineage: Bacteria; Bacillati; Actinomycetota. The record is from RNAcentral.